Molecule: ribosomal RNA, 506 nt
Filed under: uncultured bacterium
Lineage: Bacteria
Description: bacterial SSU rRNA
Rfam family: Bacterial small subunit ribosomal RNA
Source: RNAcentral
GAUCCUGGCUCAGGAUGAACGCUAGCUACAGGCUUAACACAUGCAAGUCGAGGGGGAAACGACAUCGAAAGCUUGCUUUUGAUGGGUGUCGACCGGCGCACGGGUGAGUAACGCGUAUCCAACCUGCCCACCACUUGGGGAUAACCUUGCGAAAGUAAGACUAAUACCCAAUGAUAUCCCACGAAGGCAUCCGAAUGGGAUUAAAGAUUGAUCGCUAUGGGAUGGGGAUGCGUCUGAUUAGCUUGUUGGCGGGGUAACGGCCCACCAAGGCAACGAUCAGUAGGGGUUCUGAGAGGAAGGUCCCCCACAUUGGAACUGAGACACGGUCCAAACUCCUACGGGAGGCAGCAGUGAGGAAUAUUGGUCAAUGGGCGAGAGCCUGAACCAGCCAAGUAGCGUGCAGGACGACGGCCCUAUGGGUUGUAAACUGCUUUUAUAAGGGAAUAAAGUGAGUCUCGUGAGACUUUUUGCAUGUACCUUAUGAAUAAGGACCGGCUAAUUCCGUG